AACGAACGCUGGCGGCAUGCCUAACACAUGCAAGUCGAACGAGACCUUCGGGUCUAGUGGCGCACGGGUGCGUAACGCGUGGGAACCUGCCCUUAGGUUCGGAAUAACUCCCCGAAAGGGGUGCUAAUACCGGAUAAUGUCUUCGGACCAAAGAUUUAUCGCCUUUGGAUGGGCCGGCGUUGGUUUAGCUAGUUGGUAGGGUAAAAGCCUACCAAGGCGACGAUCCAUAGCUGGUCUGAGAGGAUGAUCAGCCACACUGGGACUGAGACACGGCCCAGACUACUACGGGAGGCAGCAGUGGGGAAUAUAGGACAAUGGGCGAAAGCCUGAUCCAGCAAUGCCGCGUGAGUGAUGAAGGCCUUAGGGUUGUAAAGCUCUUUUACCCGGGAUGAUAAUGACAGUACCGGGAGAAUAAGCUCCGGCUAACUCCGUG
RNAcentral lists this ribosomal RNA (433 nucleotides) under uncultured bacterium. RNAcentral's name for it is "partial 16S ribosomal RNA". It matches the Rfam family "Bacterial small subunit ribosomal RNA", at positions 29 to 507 of the family's 1533-position model. The record is from RNAcentral.